AUGGCUUUGUAUCCUUCUGUGCCUUCUUUGUUGUGCAGUUACACUGGUUUUUCCAGUGUCCCCAAGGGACUUGCAAUUUUGUCCUUGAAUCCGUUCUUAUUUGGCAACAUUUUAAUCAAUUUCUGUAAUCACCAAAACGUCUCCAGAAAAAGCACAAGGGAGCUUCCAGACAAUUGGCAUUUCUAAUUAUGUGUCACAACUCCGGGCUCACUGCGAGUCCUGUAACUGCAGCACACAAUCCCCAUGGCAAUAUGUCAUAAUGCCUUUCAUUUCUCCUUGCAAAAAUUCCACCCCGGAAUCUUGAUUUCUGCUGUGACAGACAUAUUUGGCAACUGGGUUCUUGUGAAAGCGACUGUUGUAUGGUUUGUAAUGGGAAUUGGAAUCUGAUUUAUUUUCCAGUGUUGAUUGCAGUCCUGCUUAAACAUCCAAAAAUUGUACAUCCAAUUAGAUGAAAAAGCGUGCACACAACUUUUAAUUGCUCUGGAGAAUAUUCUGCAAAGGUCUCUGAAAAGGUCUUUAAUAAUUACAGAACAGAUGUAUCUCCUAUGGAUUGUUGCAGCAAACCUCAGGCAAAAGUAAGCUGGAUCCACGGAUAUUAGAAGCUGACACAGUUCACAGCAUGGAAAUAACCAUUAUCGUCCCUGACUUAUACAUGUAGCUUAGGUCACUGGUAAAAGGCACAGGGCAACCACAUGGUUUAGAAGCUACUUGAUCUGACAACUGAAUAUUUUCAUCAAUAGUAGUGAUGUCCUCCCGUGUACUUGACAGCAACAGGCUACUCUAGUGGGUAAG
Anolis carolinensis (green anole) is the source of this 792-nucleotide long non-coding RNA. RefSeq lists it as uncharacterized. The transcript has 3 exons. Lineage: Eukaryota; Metazoa; Chordata; Lepidosauria; Squamata; Anolidae. The record is from RefSeq and is a predicted model, not a curated record.